GAUGAACGCUGGCGGCGUGCCUAAUACAUGCAAGUCGAGCGAACAGAUAAGGAGCUUGCUCCUUUGACGUUAGCGGCGGACGGGUGAGUAACACGUGGGUAACCUACCUAUAAGACUGGGAUAACUUCGGGAAACCGGAGCUAAUACCGGAUAAUAUUUCGAACCGCAUGGUUCGAUAGUGAAAGAUGGUUUUGCUAUCACUUAUAGAUGGACCCGCGCCGUAUCAGCUAGUUGGUAAGGUAACGGCUUACCAAGGCGACGAUACGUAGCCGACCUGAGAGGGUGAUCGGCCACACUGGAACUGAGACACGGUCCAGACUCCUACGGGAGGCAGCAGUAGGGAAUCUUCCGCAAUGGGCGAAAGCCUGACGGAGCAACGCCGCGUGAGUGAUGAAGGUCAUCGGAUCGUAAAACUCUGUUAUUAGGGAAGAACAUACGUGUAAGUAACUGUGCACGUCUUGACGGUACCUAAUCAGAAAGCCACGGCUAACUACGUG
RNAcentral lists this ribosomal RNA (497 nucleotides) under uncultured bacterium. Its description in RNAcentral is "partial 16S ribosomal RNA". It matches the Rfam family "Bacterial small subunit ribosomal RNA", at positions 28 to 507 of the family's 1533-position model. The record is from RNAcentral.